GUUGGUUGAAAAUCACCCACAGCUUUGCCCAUAGCCAUGGGUGAGAUUUGGUGCGCAGAGCCAGUGGGGUCUCAGCUCACCUGCCCACUCUCGAUAAGGAGAGGUGAAACACAGGCUCACUGUGC
Molecule: small nucleolar RNA, 125 nt
Organism: Sorex fumeus (smoky shrew)
Lineage: Eukaryota; Metazoa; Chordata; Mammalia; Eulipotyphla; Soricidae
Product: small nucleolar RNA ACA64
Exons: 1
Source: RefSeq, a predicted model, not a curated record